Molecule: ribosomal RNA, 258 nt
Filed under: uncultured bacterium
Lineage: Bacteria
Description: partial 16S ribosomal RNA
Rfam family: Bacterial small subunit ribosomal RNA
Source: RNAcentral
UACGGAGGGUGCAAGCGUUAUCCGGAUUCACUGGGUUUAAAGGGUGCGUAGGUGGGCAGUUAAGUCAGUGGUGAAAUCUCCGGGCUUAACCCGGAAACUGCCCAUUGAUACUAUCUGUCUUGAAUGUCGUGGAGGUAAGCGGAAUAUGUCAUGUAGCGGUGAAAUGCUUAGAUAUGACAUAGAACACCCAAUUGCGAAGGCAGCUCACUACACGAAUAUUGACACUGAGGGCACGGAAAGCCGUGGGGGAUCAAAACC